Molecule: ribosomal RNA, 303 nt
Filed under: uncultured Flavobacterium sp.
Lineage: Bacteria; Pseudomonadati; Bacteroidota; Flavobacteriia; Flavobacteriales; Flavobacteriaceae
Description: bacterial SSU rRNA
Rfam family: Bacterial small subunit ribosomal RNA
Source: RNAcentral
GAGUUUGAUCCUGGCUCAGGAUGAACGCUAGCGGCAGGCCUAAUACAUGCAAGUCGAGGGGCAGCGCGGGUAGCAAUACCUGGCGGCGACCGGCGCACGGGUGCGUAACACGUAUACAAUCUGCCUUUAACAGGGGGAUAGCCCGGAGAAAUCCGGAUUAAUACCCCACUAAUAUAUUGAGUGGCAUCACUUGUAUAUUGAAAGCUCCGGCGGUUAGAGAUGAGUAUGCGCCUGAUUAGUUAGUUGGUGAGGUAACGGCUCACCAAGACUUCGAUCAGUAGGGGAUCUGAGAGGACUACCCCC